Molecule: long non-coding RNA, 297 nt
Organism: Schistocerca cancellata (South American locust)
Lineage: Eukaryota; Metazoa; Arthropoda; Insecta; Orthoptera; Acrididae
Exons: 3
Source: RefSeq, a predicted model, not a curated record
GAAGGGGAGUCCAAGCUCACUCACUAUGUAACGGAUCAGACUAGCAGCUACAGUGAACUUCGCGUAUGGGUGGAGCAACACAAGGAUGUCAUCAAACUGGUGCAGCAUCUGGAGCAGCUACUCAACAUGAUCAUCUUGUUUCAGUUCCUGGGAGGGACAAUCAUCAUCUGCGUGACGUUGUACCAAAGCUCUGCUAAAACGGGCGAAGUAACAACGAUGUGCAAGUUGCAGCUUUAUCUGAGUACGAUGUUAUCCGAAAUUUUCAUGUACUGCUGGUAUGCGGACGGGAUAGUACAG